AUUGAACGCUGGCGGCAUGCUUUACACAUGCAAGUCGGACGGCAGCACAGAGAAGCUUGCUUCUUGGGUGGCGAGUGCCGAACGGGUGAGUAAUAUAUCGGAACGUACCGAGUAAUGGGGGAUAACUAAUCGAAAGAUUAGCUAAUACCGCAUAUUCUCUGAGGAGGAAAGCAGGGGACCUUCGGGCCUUGCGUUAUUCGAGCGGCCGAUAUCUGAUUAGCUAGUUGGUGGGGUAAAGGCCUACCAAGGCGACGAUCAGUAGCGGGUCUGAGAGGAUGAUCCGCCACACUGGGACUGAGACACGGCCCAGACUCCUACGGGAGGCAGCAGUGGGGAAUUUUGGACAAUGGGCGCAAGCCUGAUCCAGCCAUGCCGCGUGUCUGAAGAAGGCCUUCGGGUUGUAAAGGACUUUUGUCAGGGAAGAAAAGGCUGUUGCUAAUACCGACAGCUGAUGACGGUACCUGAAGAAUAAGCACCGGCUAACUACGUG
Molecule: ribosomal RNA, 490 nt
Filed under: uncultured bacterium
Lineage: Bacteria
Description: partial 16S ribosomal RNA
Rfam family: Bacterial small subunit ribosomal RNA
Source: RNAcentral